Long non-coding RNA from Sinocyclocheilus grahami, 129 nucleotides. RefSeq lists it as uncharacterized. The transcript is spliced from 3 exons. The record is from RefSeq and is a predicted model, not a curated record. NCBI's taxonomy places the organism in Eukaryota, Metazoa, Chordata, Actinopteri, Cypriniformes, Cyprinidae.
UUCCUUCAAACGAGUUAUAACUCGUUUGAAGUAAUGGUACUUCAUAUAACAUUGUCCAGAGAAAAAAGUGUUAAUGAUAAAUCCCCUGUGUUGUUUGUACUGGCUACUGUAUACAGGCCACCAGGGCAC